This 459-nucleotide ribosomal RNA is filed under the name uncultured bacterium. RNAcentral's name for it is "partial 16S ribosomal RNA". It matches the Rfam family "Bacterial small subunit ribosomal RNA", at positions 338 to 795 of the family's 1533-position model. The record is from RNAcentral.
CCUACGGGUGGCAGCAGUGAGGAAUAUUGGUCAAUGGGCGCGAGCCUGAACCAGCCAAGUCGCGUGAGGGAAGACGGUCCUAUGGAUUGUAAACCUCUUUUGUCGGGGAGCAAAAGACGCCACGCGUGGCGUUCCGAGAGUACCCGAAGAAAAAGCAUCGGCUAACUCCGUGCCAGCAGCCGCGGGAAUACGGAGGAUGCGAGCGUUAUCCGGAUUUAUGGGGUUUAAAGGGUGCGCAGGCGGAAGAUCAAGUCAGCGGUAAAAUUGAGAGGCUCAACCUCUUCGAGCCGUUGAAACUGGUUUUCUUGAGUGAGCGAGAAGUAUGCGGAAUGCGUGGUGUAGCGGUGAAAUGCAUAGAGAUCACGCAGAACUCCGAUUGCGAAGGCAGCAUACCGGCGCUCAACUGACGCUCAUGCACGAAAGUGUGGGUAUCGAACAGGAUUAGAUACCCGGGUAGUC